Molecule: non-coding RNA, 96 nt
Filed under: Holdemania massiliensis
Lineage: Bacteria; Bacillati; Bacillota; Erysipelotrichia; Erysipelotrichales; Erysipelotrichaceae
Description: NiCo riboswitch
Rfam family: NiCo (Nickel/Cobalt) riboswitch aptamer
Source: RNAcentral
ACAGUACAAACUGAGCAGGCGAUGAACCGUUGAGGUCAUGGGGCCGGGCCAUCAAGAGUGGCAGCAGAGCGUAACCUUGCGCAUCUGUGGGACAGU